This is a long non-coding RNA of Carassius carassius (crucian carp), 544 nucleotides long. RefSeq lists it as uncharacterized. The transcript is spliced from 4 exons. NCBI's taxonomy places the organism in Eukaryota, Metazoa, Chordata, Actinopteri, Cypriniformes, Cyprinidae. The record is from RefSeq and is a predicted model, not a curated record.
GAUGUACGUCACUGGUAAUUAUAUAAAUGUUUAUUUUUAAUUAGGAAAUAAACUUAGCAACACAUAUAGAUUUGAUUAAAAAGCUUUGCAUUGUGCACAAACAAAACUACAUCUCUUCAGGUUUCUAGUCCUGAAGACGGUUAGUGGGUGUGUGUGGUUGCCAUGACGCCGUGGGCCAUGGAUGUUUACAUGUCAACCAAUUUCUGCUGACCAAACCAGUUUCUAGAGAAAACUUUGAGUGGAUACACGUUGACAACAAUGAUGGAAAACAACAGAUCUGUAGAAAACGCUGAUGAGCUGCUCUCCGUAGAUGUGGAUGAGGAGGUUGAUGUUUAUGGGUUUAUACCUCUGGCAUUGUCCCAUGACCACUGUGAUGUACUACUGGACGUAAUAGACACACAACUGAGUCAUCUACUGAUCCACAGCCAAAGCCGGAUGCAUGGAGCAAACGCCAAGAGAUUUGAAUGUCCUUUCUUGGGUAAGCAUGAACCAUUUUUCUGCAAUAAUAAUCAUAUCAAAUUUUUAGUACCUUUUUUUUAAUUUC